This 253-nucleotide ribosomal RNA is filed under the name uncultured bacterium. RNAcentral describes it as "partial 16S ribosomal RNA". It matches the Rfam family "Bacterial small subunit ribosomal RNA", at positions 524 to 776 of the family's 1533-position model. The record is from RNAcentral.
GACAGAGGUGCCGAGCGUUAGGCGGAAUCACUGGGCUUAAAGCGUGUGUAGGCGGGCGGGCAAGUACGUUGUGAAAUCCCACGGCUCAACCGUGGAACGGCUGGGCAUACUGGCGAUCUUGGGCCAACUAGGGGCAACUGGAACAAGCGGUGGAGCGGUAAAAUGCGUAGAUAUCGCUUGGAACGCCAAAGGUGAAAACAGGUUGCUGGGGUUGUGCCGACGCUGAGACACGAAAGCCAGGGGAGCAAACGGG